GCAGCGGGACCUUCGGGUUGCCGGCGAGCGGCGGACGGGUGAGUAAUGCCUAUGAAUCUGCCUGUUAGUGGGGGAUAACGCGGGGAAACUCGCGCUAAUACCGCAUACGUCCUACGGGAGAAAGUGGGGGACCUUCGGGCCUCACGCUAACAGAUGAGCCUAAGUCGGAUUACCUAGUUGGUGGGGUAACGGCCCACCAAGGCGACGAUCCGUAACUGGUCUGAGAGGAUGAUCAUUCACACUGGAACUGAAACUCGGACCAGACUCCUACGGGAGGCAGAAGUGGGGAAUAUUGGACAAUGGGCGAAAGCCUGAUCCAGCCCUGCCGCGUGUGUGAAGAAGGUCUUCGGAUUGUAAAGCACUUUAACCCGGGAGGAAGGGCUGUAGGCGAAUACCCUGCAGUCUUGACGUUACCGGCAGAAUAAGCACCGGCUAACUUCGUGCCAGCAGCCGCGGUAAUAC
RNAcentral lists this ribosomal RNA (462 nucleotides) under Azotobacter salinestris. Its description in RNAcentral is "bacterial SSU rRNA". It matches the Rfam family "Bacterial small subunit ribosomal RNA", at positions 66 to 526 of the family's 1533-position model. The record is from RNAcentral. Lineage: Bacteria; Pseudomonadati; Pseudomonadota; Gammaproteobacteria; Pseudomonadales; Pseudomonadaceae.